GAAGAUUGAGUGGCAAACGGGUGAGUAACGCGUAAGAAUAUACCCUUUAGAGUGGGAUAGCCUUUGGAAACGAAGAGUAAUACCGCAUAAUCCGAUAUAUAGAGAUGUAUAUCGGCAAAGACGAAAGUCGCUAAAGGAUUAGCUUGCGUCAGAUCUGUAGUUGGUGAGGUAAAAGCUUACCAAGCAAUGAUCUGUAGCUGGUCUGAGAGGACGGCCAGCCACACUGGGACUGAGACACGGCCCAGACUUC
This 250-nucleotide ribosomal RNA is filed under the name uncultured bacterium. RNAcentral's name for it is "partial 16S ribosomal RNA". It matches the Rfam family "Bacterial small subunit ribosomal RNA", at positions 86 to 339 of the family's 1533-position model. The record is from RNAcentral.